This 1984-nucleotide long non-coding RNA is filed under the name Nicotiana benthamiana. Its description in RNAcentral is "long non-coding RNA (NBEN_LNC035556)". Lineage: Eukaryota; Viridiplantae; Streptophyta; Magnoliopsida; Solanales; Solanaceae. The record is from RNAcentral.
AACUGAGCCCCAUUUUAAUGUAUAACUGUCCUAAAGCCUACCCUCCCCCCUCCCCUUAACUCGUCUCUCCCACUUCACCCUAUCUUUAGAGACGCCUCCAUAACCCUAGUGCCGCCUUGAUUCUCCGCCUCCUCAGGCCCGUGGCGCUACCUCUAAUAAGCCCCAAAAUAACACCACCAACUCCCUAAAUCUUUAACCCGUUUCCAUGGAAUCACCCUAGAUUCCCUCGAAUCUUAAAUCUGAGUCGAACCCUAAAACUCAAAUCUCUCUAAAUCAUUGAAAUUCAUUAAAUGAUUGAGGUCUAGUUGGAUUUUAUUCGUGUGUUCUUGACAAGAACACACGAUUAAGGUCAAACUCGGCCAAAAAUUUGAAGAUUUGAAGGUUCUUUUCAAUUUUCCGGUAUCCGAGCCACUUUUAAGGUAUUUUUCUUUAUCUUCUGAUAUUUAAUUUUCAUUUGUAGUUCUCUUCUCAUCUUCUUGCGUUUCCUUCUUUUAUUUUUUUAUUUUAUUUUUCCGUUCUUUCAUUUCUUUCAAAUCAUUUGUGUUUGCAUAUUUAGCCUUAUAGUCAAUUUAGUUAGUUUGUUUUGAUUUAAUAACUUAGUUAAUUCCAUAUUAAUCAGUCAAUUAGUUAAGGUUUUAGUUUUUGAAAUCAUUUCAAUGUUUUCUUCUGUUUGUCAUAGAUUACUGAUUUGGUAUGGUUCAUUUUUGCUGUUUAGGAUUUGAAGCCAUUUUAGAGCCCACGUCAAGGGGUUGGUUUAGGUUAUUAGGUCAGAAUUGAGCCUAUGUCUGGUUUAACCAUUGGGUCAACUUGACCCUUGGGUUCUUGGGGGUAAAACCAGGGGUCCUAAUGGGUAAUUUAGGAAUUGUAGGUGGGGGAAUCUCUUGUAACUGAAUAGGGAAUCUUCCUAGAAGCUGGGAUUGAGACUUAUAUGAAAUACAGAUCUUUAAACUAAGGACAUGAGAGCAAAAAUAAAAAUUUCUAAAGGAUAUAAGUGCAAAACUGAAUGCAUUUUCUACUGCCCUAAGGCUUGGCUAUAAAGGCGCUCUUUCUUCACUCACAAGAGAGAUGUUAGAAAUUAAAAGUUCUGAAAAAACUGAAUUUUUUUGAGUUCUUUCUUUUAAGAAAAAAUGCUGAAAAUAGUUUGGAUUUCUACUUGAUUUUGAGUUCUGAUUCCGUUGUGAUAAGUUAGAAUUUUAAAGGUUUAGUAAAAAAUCGUGCAUUUGGGGUUUUGAAUAUGCGAAUUGGUUCGAGAAUCUUAUGCUUGAUUUGCUGACCUUGGCACUGUUUCAUUGUUGUUUCUAAGUUGGUUUCUGCUGUUGCUUAUUGCUGAUUCUUUACUUCUUUGUCCCUUUUAUUUCCAGGUAUUUCCUUGAACUAUUGAGUGGCCAAUGAAGCUACUAAUGUGGUUGCUGUGUAUGGAAAAUAGGGAGUCUGUUGAAAUAUAAUAAGUUUGUUUAUGUUUGAAGAUCAUUUUCCGUGUGUUGAUUUAAGUUAUCCAGUUUUGUCUAUUUCCCCUAUUUCCUUCUUAAAUGUCCUAGAUAUGUAAUAUCAUGCUCAUUUCAUGUUUGAGUUUGUGCGAAACUCUAAAGUGUGGUUCUGAUUCUCUCAUUUAUGAAGUGUUCUAUGUGUAAAUCCUAAACCAUACAUGUUACUUUAGCUCUUCUCUUGCUACUAAUAGGUUGUUGAAAUGAAUCUGUGAUUUUAAGAAUCUUAGUAUGUCUUUUGAGAUUCAAGUGAAUAAUGUACUAAUCCAUGUAUCAUGUUAUUGUUGAUAGUGAAAGAGAGUUAAAAUGAGUUUAAGUUUCAUACAUUCAGUUGAAAUUAGCUUAGAAAUUGAAUGCAAGCAUGAACAUCUGUUUAGUUUGGUUAUCAGCGCCAAUUGAGGAUAAGAAUGUAUUGUUUUAGUAAGGUGAGCUAAUAGCCUGCAAAGCUUUUGUGUUGGUAGAGACUCGAUAUUGAGUCCUGCUCUUUCACCUUUUCUUUU